Molecule: ribosomal RNA, 253 nt
Filed under: uncultured bacterium
Lineage: Bacteria
Description: partial 16S ribosomal RNA
Rfam family: Bacterial small subunit ribosomal RNA
Source: RNAcentral
UACGUAGGGUGCGAGCGUUGUCCGGAAUUAUUGGGCGUAAAGAGCUUGUAGGCGGUUUGUCGCGUCUGCCGUGAAAAUCCGGGGCUCAACCCCGGACUUGCGGUGGGUACGGGCAGACUAGAGUGUGGUAGGGGAGACUGGGAUUCCUGGUGUAGCGGUGAAAUGCGCAGAUAUCAGGAGGAACACCGAUGGCGAAGGCAGGUCUCUGGGCCACUACUGACGCUGAGAAGCGAAAGCGUGGGGAGCGAACAGG